Manihot esculenta (cassava) is the source of this 77-nucleotide small nucleolar RNA. RefSeq annotates it as small nucleolar RNA R21. The record is from RefSeq and is a predicted model, not a curated record. The transcript has a single exon. Lineage: Eukaryota; Viridiplantae; Streptophyta; Magnoliopsida; Malpighiales; Euphorbiaceae.
CAUCUUUAUGAUGGAUAUUAAUGGAAUUUAAAGUAGUGGACUGAACUCUGUUGAUGAUGCAGCAAUUCUGAGUGAUG